RNAcentral lists this transfer RNA (75 nucleotides) under Candidatus Curtissbacteria bacterium RBG_16_39_7. Its description in RNAcentral is "tRNA-Thr". It matches the Rfam family "tRNA". Rfam says of the family: Transfer RNA (tRNA) molecules are approximately 80 nucleotides in length. The record is from RNAcentral. Lineage: Bacteria; Candidatus Curtissiibacteriota.
GCCGCCUUAGCUCAGAGGUAGAGCAACUGUUUCGUAAACAGUAGGUCCUCGGUUCGAUUCCGAGAGGCGGCUCAA